This 1542-nucleotide ribosomal RNA is filed under the name Escherichia coli. RNAcentral's name for it is "bacterial SSU rRNA". It matches the Rfam family "Bacterial small subunit ribosomal RNA". The record is from RNAcentral. Lineage: Bacteria; Pseudomonadati; Pseudomonadota; Gammaproteobacteria; Enterobacterales; Enterobacteriaceae.
AAAUUGAAGAGUUUGAUCAUGGCUCAGAUUGAACGCUGGCGGCAGGCCUAACACAUGCAAGUCGAACGGUAACAGAAAGCAGCUUGCUGCUUUGCUGACGAGUGGCGGACGGGUGAGUAAUGUCUGGGAAACUGCCUGAUGGAGGGGGAUAACUACUGGAAACGGUAGCUAAUACCGCAUAACGUCGCAAGACCAAAGAGGGGGACCUUCGGGCCUCUUGCCAUCGGAUGUGCCCAGAUGGGAUUAGCUUGUUGGUGGGGUAACGGCUCACCAAGGCGACGAUCCCUAGCUGGUCUGAGAGGAUGACCAGCCACACUGGAACUGAGACACGGUCCAGACUCCUACGGGAGGCAGCAGUGGGGAAUAUUGCACAAUGGGCGCAAGCCUGAUGCAGCCAUGCCGCGUGUAUGAAGAAGGCCUUCGGGUUGUAAAGUACUUUCAGCGGGGAGGAAGGGAGUAAAGUUAAUACCUUUGCUCAUUGACGUUACCCGCAGAAGAAGCACCGGCUAACUCCGUGCCAGCAGCCGCGGUAAUACGGAGGGUGCAAGCGUUAAUCGGAAUUACUGGGCGUAAAGCGCACGCAGGCGGUUUGUUAAGUCAGAUGUGAAAUCCCCGGGCUCAACCUGGGAACUGCAUCUGAUACUGGCAAGCUUGAGUCUCGUAGAGGGGGGUAGAAUUCCAGGUGUAGCGGUGAAAUGCGUAGAGAUCUGGAGGAAUACCGGUGGCGAAGGCGGCCCCCUGGACGAAGACUGACGCUCAGGUGCGAAAGCGUGGGGAGCAAACAGGAUUAGAUACCCUGGUAGUCCACGCCGUAAACGAUGUCGACUUGGAGGUUGUGCCCUUGAGGCGUGGCUUCCGGAGCUAACGCGUUAAGUCGACCGCCUGGGGAGUACGGCCGCAAGGUUAAAACUCAAAUGAAUUGACGGGGGCCCGCACAAGCGGUGGAGCAUGUGGUUUAAUUCGAUGCAACGCGAAGAACCUUACCUGGUCUUGACAUCCACGGAAGUUUUCAGAGAUGAGAAUGUGCCUUCGGGAACCGUGAGACAGGUGCUGCAUGGCUGUCGUCAGCUCGUGUUGUGAAAUGUUGGGUUAAGUCCCGCAACGAGCGCAACCCUUAUCCUUUGUUACCAGCGGUCCGGCCGGGAACUCAAAGGAGACUGCCAGUGAUAAACUGGAGGAAGGUGGGGAUGACGUCAAGUCAUCAUGGCCCUUACGACCAGGGCUACACACGUGCUACAAUGGCGCAUACAAAGAGAAGCGACCUCGCGAGAGCAAGCGGACCUCAUAAAGUGCGUCGUAGUCCGGAUUGGAGUCUGCAACUCGACUCCAUGAAGUCGGAAUCGCUAGUAAUCGUGGAUCAGAAUGCCACGGUGAAUACGUUCCCGGGCCUUGUACACACCGCCCGUCACACCAUGGGAGUGGGUUGCAAAAGAAGUAGGUAGCUUAACCUUCGGGAGGGCGCUUACCACUUUGUGAUUCAUGACUGGGGUGAAGUCGUAACAAGGUAACCGUAGGGGAACCUGCGGUUGGAUCACCUCCUUA